Molecule: ribosomal RNA, 442 nt
Filed under: uncultured bacterium
Lineage: Bacteria
Description: partial 16S ribosomal RNA
Rfam family: Bacterial small subunit ribosomal RNA
Source: RNAcentral
CCUACGGGAGGCAGCAGUAGGGAAUCUUUCACAAUGGGCGCAAGCCUGAUGGAGCAACGCCGCGUGCAGGAUGAAGGCCUUCGGGUUGUAAACUGCUUUUAUAAGCGAGAAAUAUGAUGGUAACUUAUGAAUAAGGAUCGGCUAACUACGUGCCAGCAGCCGCGGUCAUACGUAGGAUCCGAGCAUUAUCCGGAGUGACUGGGUGUAAAGAGUUGCGUAGGUGGCAUAAUAAGUAGCUAGUGAAAUCUGGUGGCUCAACCAUUCAGACUAUUAGCUAAACUGUUAAGCUCGAGACCGUUAGGGGUAACUGGAAUUUGUAGUGUAGGAGUGAAAUCCGUAGAUAUUAGAAGGAACACCAAUAGCGUAGGCAGGUUGCUGGGACGGUUCUGACACUAAGGCACGAAAGCGUAGGGAGCAAACGGGAUUAGAUACCCGAGUAGUC